GUUCGAACGCCCCGCAGGGGAGUGGCAGACGGGUGGGUAACGCGUGGGAAUCUACCCAAUUCUUCGGAACAACUGAGGGAAACUUCAGCUAAUACCGGAUGUGCCCUUCGGGGGAAAGAUUUAUCGGAAUUGGAUGAGCCCGCGUUGGAUUAGCUAGUUGGUGGGGUAAAGGCCUACCAAGGCGACGAUCCAUAGCUGGUCUGAGAGGAUGAUCAGCCACACUGGGACUGAGACACGGCCCAGACUCCUACGGGAGGCAGCAGUGGGGAAUAUUGGACAAUGGGCGCAAGCCUGAUCCAGCCAUGCCGCGUGAGUGAUGAAGGUCUUAGGAUUGUAAAGCUCUUUCACCGGUGAAGAUAAUGACGGUAACCGGAGAAGAAGCCCCGGCUAACUUCGUGCCAGCAGCCGCGGUAAUACGAAGGGGGCUAGCGUUGUUCGGAUUUACUGGGCGUAAAGCGCACGUAGGCGGACUAUUAAGUCAGGGGUGAAAUCCCGGGGCUCAACCCCGGAACUGCCUUUGAUACUGGUAGUCUUGAGUUCGAGAGAGGUGAGUGGAAUUCCGAGUGUAGAGGUGAAAUUCGUAGAUAUUCGGAGGAACACCAGUGGCGAAGGCGGCUCACUGGCUCGAUACUGACGCUGAGGUGCGAAAGCGUGGGGAGC
This 660-nucleotide ribosomal RNA is filed under the name uncultured bacterium. RNAcentral's name for it is "bacterial SSU rRNA". It matches the Rfam family "Bacterial small subunit ribosomal RNA", at positions 77 to 769 of the family's 1533-position model. The record is from RNAcentral.